Long non-coding RNA from Aethalodelphis obliquidens (Pacific white-sided dolphin), 2590 nucleotides. RefSeq lists it as uncharacterized. The record is from RefSeq and is a predicted model, not a curated record. Lineage: Eukaryota; Metazoa; Chordata; Mammalia; Artiodactyla; Delphinidae. The transcript is spliced from 2 exons.
UCCUGUUUCCCAUUCCGGCCCCUAGCGAGGCUCUUUGGAAGCGCAUGCACGCGUGCGCAGCUUUUCUCCGAGCCCUGUAAGGAAGGCCGGCAGGCAGGCUUUGGGCCUCCCCAGAGACGCUUAUAUCCAUCUUGACAGAUACUAAAAUGAUCGUCUGGGUCAAUACUGCCUUAAUGAGAACAUCUGUGCAUUCUCGCAAGGUAAAGUUUCCUUCCUUGUCAUUUUGGUGACUGAUAAUACUCCUGUAAAUGUAUUUGGUUUUUUGAAGCUCAGAGGGUAUUAAUAUGUUGGAGCACUAUGUAAACUUAAGUCAUAAACAGCAUUUAUUACUUUGGUAUAUCAAAAAAAAGAAUGUCAAGAUCAUUCAAAUCACACAUUAAAUUUGAGGUUGCUGUUAGACAUCUAAGUGAAGAGGUCCAGGAGGUAGUCAAAUAUGCAUGCACAUCUGGGAUUCAGGGGAGAGUCCAGGAUGCCCAAAUGGGAGUGGUCAGCCUAUAAAUGAGACUGAAUGAGAUCAUGACGUGUAAAUACAGAGAAGGAGCCUGAGAACUGAACCCUGGGGCCUUGUAAAUUCCAGGGGCUGGGUGGGGGGAUGAGGAAGAACCAGCAAGGUGAUGGAGAAGAAGCAGCCAUUUGGGGAGCAGGAAAGCUGAUAUCGUCUCCCAUUCACUGAUCAAUCCUUCUCAGGAAAGGCAGGUUUACAAAGGGCUUAAGACCGAGGGUAUUGGACUCAGUUGGAUCUGGAUUCAAAUCUCCAUCACAGUAAGUACAAAAUGAGUUUACACUUCAUAUGUGCCACUGGAACUAGUAUAGGACCUGGAGGGUAUUUGUUCAGUAAUCACUGAUAGUGCAUUAAUGUACACUGGGCAUAUAUGGAGUGGCAAGGGAGUUUAUGAGAAAGAAUAAAACAGAGGCCCUGGCCUCAGGGAGCUGAGUCCUGAGGGAAGGAGGAGUCCUAGAAGCGGAUGAUUGUCCAUGACAUCACAACAUGAUAAAUUCUUGAAUGAAAGUAUGAGCCAUGCACCGAGAGAACAGAGGAGGAGUGAUUAAUCCAGACUGCGAUGACCUGACUUAAAUGUGAUGCUUUCUUUUUUUUCUCAUUCACCUUUUACGUGCCAUUUUGCCUGUAAAAUUCAUGACUCUUCUGAGCACCACCAGUUAACCUACAUGACAGUUUAUGAGAAUGCUUUUCUUUAGGAAAAAAGAAAUGGGGGAAAAAUCCUCAGGAUAUAGACUACGGUCCUACAUUAAAAAAAAUGAAGUUAAGAAUUACCAUCUUGAAUGAAAUUGAAUCUAUAAUUGCCUCUUAGCCCAAAUUGACAGUAACUGCUAUGUUCUCCCACUUUUGACUGUUAGCAAAUCACUCCCCGGUGUGGUUCUCCCAUCACAGGCGUAACUGCCCAGCCUGUUACAUCUGGUGUGGGAGGCUUCAGUGAUCUUAAUCUUCUUCCUUGGGCGAUGAUUUACCUUCCAUUUUGGAGGCAGCUUAUUCAGAUAGUGAAGCCCCAAGAAUGUCAGCCUUUCACAUAUUGAACAACCAUACAUUUCUCAUGAAGAAGAUUUCUAGCAUCUUCUUGUGGUUUUUAUUUCUCCUUGUUUUCCUCUCUGCAUUUGUUCUGACUAGAGCUAAAAAUUUUAGAAAUAAAGUUUGCAGCUAAAGAUGGCCUUCAUGAAUUUACCAUAAAUUCUUGCACUGAAAAUUCCACAAAGGCAGAUUGCAAAGCUGCUUGUUAAGUCAGUGUUGAAGGCGGACUACCUUCAUUCUGCAGACUUAGAGCUCCUCCAGCUCUGCCUGACGAGGGGAUUUGGGAGCCAGAUGAACGUUUGGAUCAUUGUGUCCUCCAAUCCUAAAGUAACUGUACUAUAGUCUCUUUGAUGGCUGGGGUGGAUGACAGUGAAUGUAUCUGGGACAAGGCAGGAAAAGAGAUGAGGGCAGCAUGGGUAAGUGUUGAGCAUUGUUAGCUGGGACCCAAGGAGGACAUUCUCUUCAACCAGCCAGGAAUAUAUCCAGGAACCAGUGUUUGUUCUUCCCAAAACAAAAAGACUGUGAAGAAACAUUAAAAGAAAAUAAAAUAAGACAAUUGUGUAGCCCUGAUUCAAAAAUGAAGAAAACACUAGCCUUUUCUCUUAGAAAAGAUAGUUAAGGUUUAUUUCCUAUGAAGGGUAUAUAUUAUUUGAAGAAUAACUGCUCUUCAAAGUUGUCCCUGUACUUCAGCCUUUAACUAAAGGGACCAAGUCUCUUUUAAAGUAGGAAUCCCAACGAGACACUGAGUACAAUGGACUGAAUAUUUGUGUCCCCGCGCCCCAUUGCCAAAUUCAUAUGUCGAAAUCCUAACGCCCAAUGUGAUGGUAGCAGGAGCUGGGGCCUCUGGAAAGUGAUUCGGUCCUGAAGGUGGAGCCCUCAUGAAUGGGAUUAGUGCCCUUAUGAAAAGGCCUCCAGAGAGCAACCUCGUCUCUUCCACCAUGGGAGGACACAGCAAGAAGAUGGCCUUCUAAGAACGUAGAAGUUGGUCUUCACCAGGCACCAAAUCUUCUUGGACUUCCCAGCCUCCAUAACUGUGAGAAAUAAAUAUCUGUUGUUUAUAAUCCA